GCAGUGUAUAUAUUUACAAUAUAAAUUUUGAAACCUAUUGAAAUAUUUUCUUGAGAAUUAUUUGAAAAGACUUGCAAAAUUUCAUAAAUUUGGUGCAAAAUGACGGUGGGCAUGGAUAACAUAAACAAGCUCCGUUGGAAGUUGGUCAUGAUACUAUUUGGCUUUAAUUUUUAAAACACAAUAAUAAAGUACUAACACAACAUAUAACUGUUUUAUCCAGGUUUUUAUCUUAAAAGUUGUAAAUUUAGAAAAUGUUAAUAUUGUCGCCUAUGGCAGAAUAAAUAGUACCGUUUUCCCUAUA
Molecule: long non-coding RNA, 301 nt
Filed under: Mytilus galloprovincialis (Mediterranean mussel)
Lineage: Eukaryota; Metazoa; Mollusca; Bivalvia; Mytilida; Mytilidae
Source: RNAcentral